This is a non-coding RNA of Sus scrofa (pig), 95 nucleotides long. NCBI's taxonomy places the organism in Eukaryota, Metazoa, Chordata, Mammalia, Artiodactyla, Suidae. The record is from Rfam.
CUAAGGGUGCCCACCUGGGGCCUUGGAAGCAUUGGGAAGUCUCCCACGUGGGAGACAAGACAGCCCUGUUUAAUAUUUAAACAGCAGUGUUCCCC